AUGGCUAAAGUCCCCAAGGUAACACACCCCGAGUAUGUUGAUUUCAAUAGUGAUGAAGAUGACUUUCUAGGUGAUGAUGAUUUACUUGUUGACAACUCUAGUGAUGAAUACUAUGAUGAAAAUGCUAUUAAUCAUGUUAAUCAAGAUGAAACGAAUGACAAUGAUAAGAAGGAAAUUGGGCGUCUAACUAAAGAACUAAACACUCUUAAGUUGGCUCAUGAAACUACUUUAGAGGAUCAUCGAGAACUUUUAAAAACUCAUGAGAAGUUACGCUUCGGGAAGCUCAAUCUUGAGCAAGAACAUGGGUUCUUAAAAGCCAUCAAUGAUGAUCUUCGGAAGAAAAGUUCUUCUUACAUUGCCAAGCGUUUACUCGUGUCUACUUACAUGCCACAAUUAAAAUCUAGCAACAAGAACAAGAAAGAUUCUUCUUCUAGUAGUAAAAAUUAUCAUGCUAAAUCCAAUAUUGUUGCCUCUAGUAGAACUCUUGAUUCCACUAAUGAUUCUCUUACCCAAGUUACACUUGAGCAAGAAAAUAGCUUAUUAAAGGGAAUUAUAGAGAAAGGUGUUUACAAGAGCCUUGCCGGAAGUAAGCAAUUUGAGGAAAUUGUACGCAAGCAAGGAAGACAUCGGAAUAAUCAAGGUGUUGGUUUUGAACGGAAGUUCAAUGCCAAUGGAGUUGAGUGGGAAGAAGAUCAAUACCCCAAGACGAAGUUUGUUCCUCAACAAGAGAAGUAUGAUCCUACUUCCUUCAAGGGGACACAAGCUCAAGAUGAUCUUCCACCACAAGACCACAAGCUAAAAGGCAAGGACAAGCUUCAAGAGGAGAUUGAUACAUUUGAAGAUGCUCCAAAGGCCUUGGUCAAGUGGGUUCCCAAGACUACAUCGAGUUCUACUUCAUCUAGUACUUCUAUAACUCCAAGGAUUCCCAUCAAGAUGAUGUGGAUCCCAAAGAACAAGAACUAG
RNAcentral lists this ribosomal RNA (963 nucleotides) under Triticum aestivum (bread wheat). RNAcentral's name for it is "partial small subunit ribosomal RNA". The record is from RNAcentral. Lineage: Eukaryota; Viridiplantae; Streptophyta; Magnoliopsida; Poales; Poaceae.